RNAcentral lists this ribosomal RNA (1777 nucleotides) under Kushneria sinocarnis. RNAcentral's name for it is "bacterial SSU rRNA". The stretch from base 242 to 1777 matches the Rfam family "Bacterial small subunit ribosomal RNA". The record is from RNAcentral. Lineage: Bacteria; Pseudomonadati; Pseudomonadota; Gammaproteobacteria; Oceanospirillales; Halomonadaceae.
CGAAAUCGGCAUUGACAUUUCGGUGGCGGUGAGUAAAAUGCUCACUCUCUCGCAAACGGCACAGGCCACAGCGGGAACGCUCUUUAACAAGUCGAUCAGGCAAUUUGUGUGGGCGUCUGGUUCGCGACGGUGCGGCACAGCAUCAUCGGAAACAGACGACUCGUCAAAAUGCGAGUUUUCGUUCCGAGUCAGGAUUGAUCCGCCACGAUGGUCUCGACCAUCGGUCAGGAUCGCAGACUUUCAACUGAAGAGUUUGAUCAUGGCUCAGAUUGAACGCUGGCGGCAGGCUUAACACAUGCAAGUCGAGCGGCAGCGGACCCUUCGGGGUGCCGGCGAGCGGCGGACGGGUGAGUAAUGCAUGGGAAUCUGCCCGGUAGUGGGGGAUAACCCGGGGAAACCCGGGCUAAUACCGCAUACCUCCCACGGGAGAAAGCAGGGGAUCUUCGGACCUUGCGCUAUCGGAUGAGCCCAUGUCGGAUUAGCUUGCUGGUGAGGUAACGGCUCACCAGGGCUGCGAUCCGUAGCUGGUUUGAGAGAAUGAUCAGCCACACCGGGACUGAGACACGGCCCGGACUCCUACGGGAGGCAGCAGUGGGGAAUAUUGGACAAUGGGCGAAAGCCUGAUCCAGCCAUGCCGCGUGUGUGAAGAAGGCCCUCGGGUUGUAAAGCACUUUCAGCGGGGAAGAAGGCGUGGCGGUUAAUACCCGCCACGAAGGACAUCACCCGCAGAAGAAGCACCGGCUAACUCCGUGCCAGCAGCCGCGGUAAUACGGAGGGUGCAAGCGUUAAUCGGAAUUACUGGGCGUAAAGGGCGCGUAGGCGGCCUGUCACGCCGGGUGUGAAAGCCCCGGGCUCAACCCGGGAACGGCAUCCGGAACGGGCAGGCUCGAGUGCAGGAGAGGAAGGUAGAAUUCCCGGUGUAGCGGUGAAAUGCGUAGAGAUCGGGAGGAAUACCAGUGGCGAAGGCGGCCUUCUGGACUGACACUGACGCUGAGGCGCGAAAGCAUGGGUAGCAAACAGGAUUAGAUACCCUGGUAGUCCAUGCCGUAAACGAUGUCGACCAGCCGUUGGCCUCCUCGAGAGGCUGGUGGCGCAGUUAACGCGCUAAGUCGACCGCCUGGGGAGUACGGCCGCAAGGCUAAAACUCAAAUGAAUUGACGGGGGCCCGCACAAGCGGUGGAGCAUGUGGUUUAAUUCGAUGCAACGCGAAGAACCUUACCUGCCCUUGACAUCCCGGGAAUCCGCCGGAGACGGCGGAGUGCCUUCGGGAACCCGGAGACAGGUGCUGCAUGGCUGUCGUCAGCUCGUGUUGUGAAAUGUUGGGUUAAGUCCCGUAACGAGCGCAACCCCUAUCCCCAUUUGCCAGCGGUCCGGCCGGGAACUCUGGGGAGACUGCCGGUGACAAACCGGAGGAAGGUGGGGACGACGUCAAGUCAUCAUGGCCCUUACGGGCAGGGCUACACACGUGCUACAAUGGCGAGUACAAAGGGUUGCGAAGCGGCGACGUGAAGCCAAUCCCGUAAAGCUCGCCUCAGUCCGGAUUGGAGUCUGCAACUCGACUCCAUGAAGUCGGAAUCGCUAGUAAUCGCGUAUCAGAAUGGCGCGGUGAAUACGUUCCCGGGCCUUGUACACACCGCCCGUCACACCAUGGGAGUGGACUGCACCAGAAGCGGUUAGCCCAACCUUCGGGAGGGCGACCGCCACGGUGUGGUUCACGACUGGGGUGAAGUCGUAACAAGGUAGCCGUAGGGGAACCUGCGGCUGGAUCACCUCCUUA